AGCAGCCGCGGUAAUUCCAGCUCCAAUAGCGUAUAUUAAAGUUGUUGCAGUUAAAAAGCUCGUAGUUGAAUUUCGGGGCCAGUAGGUUGGUCGUGCCACUGGUAUGCACUGGCCUUACUGGUCCCUCCUUCUUGUAGAACCGUGAUGGCAUUAAUUUGUUGUUGCGGGGAAACAGGACUGUUACUUUGAAAAAAUUAGAGUGCUUAAAGCAGGCUCGCGCUUGAAUACAUUAGCAUGGAAUAACGAAAUAGGACGAUCGAACCUAUUUUGUUGGUUUCUAGGAUCGACGUAAUGAUUAAUAGGGAUAGGUUGGGGGCAUUAGUAUUCAAUUGUCAGAGGUGAAAUUCUUGGUAUUUAUUGAAGACUAACUACUGCGAAAGCAUUUGCCAAGGAUGUUUUCAUUUAAUCAAAGAACGAAAGUUAGGGGAUCGAAGACGAUCAGAUACCGGUCGUAGUCUUAACCAUUAAACUAUGCCGACUAGGGAUCGGAUAGUAAGUUUAAUUUUUUUAAUGUACUUAC
This 520-nucleotide ribosomal RNA is filed under the name uncultured fungus. RNAcentral's name for it is "SSU rRNA". It matches the Rfam family "Eukaryotic small subunit ribosomal RNA", at positions 569 to 1080 of the family's 1831-position model. Lineage: Eukaryota; Fungi. The record is from RNAcentral.